GGGAUAUAAAUAAUCACACCCUGUAGCUGAGCCGGUAGUCGCUGUGUGUGAGUUGCGAAGAAUAGUUGUGAGGAAUCAACAACCGCUGCUCUUUAUUCGCAAGCAUAGGCCGCGACUUCCUGGAGGCAGAUAUGAAGCCACGCACUGCAUCGUGUAGGAAACCGUCUGCUCCUGCUCCUCGUCGUCCUCAUUCUACUACUACUAUUACUGCUACUACUGAUGCAGAUGAAGAUCCCAUUCACUUGUUGGUCAUUCAGCUCCGGCUGAUUGGAGAUAAAUGUGACCUUAUACAAAGAGUGCAGAAUCUGCUGGCGAAACGCUCUUCCGGAACUUGAUACAAGUGUCGUGCAACAUCGGCAGGAACAAAAAAAAAACAAAAAAAGCUGGGGGAAAAAAAAAACCUGGAAUUUGUUCUAAUACGACUGGGAAUGUGGCACAACGGUCUCUUCAACAACAGUUUUCCGGUCAUGAGGAAUCCACUUGGGGAUAAAGGAGA
Molecule: long non-coding RNA, 496 nt
Organism: Xenopus laevis (African clawed frog)
Lineage: Eukaryota; Metazoa; Chordata; Amphibia; Anura; Pipidae
Exons: 2
Source: RefSeq, a predicted model, not a curated record